ACCUGCUUGACUCCCUUGACGCCAAGUAGGAAGUCAUCAAGCUUGAAUUUUGAUAAAGCUUCUUAGGUGGCAUCCAGGGAGCCAGGCAGAU
Molecule: microRNA precursor, 91 nt
Filed under: Olea europaea subsp. europaea
Lineage: Eukaryota; Viridiplantae; Streptophyta; Magnoliopsida; Lamiales; Oleaceae
Source: RNAcentral